GACGAACGCUGGCGGCGUGCUUAACACAUGCAAGUCGAACGGAAAGGCCCUGCUUUUGUGGGGUGCUCGAGUGGCGAACGGGUGAGUAACACGUGAGUAACCUGCCCUUGACUUUGGGAUAACUUCAGGAAACUGGGGCUAAUACCGGAUAGGAGCUCCUGCUGCAUGGUGGGGGUUGGAAAGUUUCGGCGGUUGGGGAUGGACUCGCGGCUUAUCAGCUUGUUGGUGGGGUAGUGGCUUACCAAGGCUUUGACGGGUAGCCGGCCUGAGAGGGUGACCGGCCACAAUGCGACUGAGAGACGCCGCAGACGCCUACGGGAGGCAGCAGUGGGGAGUAUUGCACAAUGGGCGGAAGCCUGAUGCAGCGACGCCGCGUGCGGGAUGACGGCCUUCGGGUUAUAAACCGCUUUCGCCUGUGACGAAGCGUGAGUGACGGUAAUGGGUAAGGAAGCACCGGCUAACUACGUG
RNAcentral lists this ribosomal RNA (468 nucleotides) under uncultured bacterium. RNAcentral's name for it is "partial 16S ribosomal RNA". It matches the Rfam family "Bacterial small subunit ribosomal RNA", at positions 28 to 507 of the family's 1533-position model. The record is from RNAcentral.